This 129-nucleotide small RNA is filed under the name Pan troglodytes (chimpanzee). RNAcentral describes it as "processed transcript". The record is from RNAcentral. Lineage: Eukaryota; Metazoa; Chordata; Mammalia; Primates; Hominidae.
GGAAAAGGAAGUCUACAGCCGGAGAGGACGCGCUCUGGGGGUAGAAGGAAUCCUAGGACGGAAAGGAUAAGGAAAGCAAUAGAAGAACUGCUUAAGGAGGCAAAACGUGGGAAAACUAGAGCUGAAACA